This is a long non-coding RNA of Bactrocera neohumeralis, 202 nucleotides long. RefSeq lists it as uncharacterized. The record is from RefSeq and is a predicted model, not a curated record. The transcript has 2 exons. Lineage: Eukaryota; Metazoa; Arthropoda; Insecta; Diptera; Tephritidae.
UUUUUUUAUAAGCAGAAUAACUCCGAAUUGUAACAGAACUGCACAAAUUCUUGCAGAUUAAACUCUGUGCACACUUGUACUGUUGUUUACUUUGACAAAAGCAUUUCUGUAUUUUUUUUUUUUUUUUUUUUUUUUGUUUUUUUUUUUUUUUUUUUUUUUUUUUUUUUUUUUUUUUUUUUUUUUUUUUUUUUUUUUUUUUUUU